AUUGAACGCUGGCGGCAGGCCUAACACAUGCAAGUCGAGCGGAGCGGCGGACGGGUGAGUAAUGCCUAGGACUCUGCCUGGUAGUGGGGGAUAACGUCCGGAAACGGGCGCUAAUACCGCAUACUAUCAGAUGAGACUAGGUCGGCUUAGCUCGUUGGUGGGGUAAAGGCCUACCAAGGCGACGACCCGUAACUGGUCUGAGCGGAGGAUCAGUCACACUGAUGCUGAGACAGGGUCCAGACUCCUGCGGGAGUCAGCAGUGGGGAAUAGUGGACAAGGGGCGAAAGCCUGAUCCAGCCCUGCCGCGUGUGUGAAGAAGGUCUUCGGAUUGUAAAGCACUUGAAGUUGGGAGGCGUUACCAACAGAAUAAGCACCGGCUAACUACGUGCCAGCAGCCGCGGUGAGUC
RNAcentral lists this ribosomal RNA (407 nucleotides) under uncultured bacterium. RNAcentral describes it as "partial 16S ribosomal RNA". It matches the Rfam family "Bacterial small subunit ribosomal RNA", at positions 30 to 526 of the family's 1533-position model. The record is from RNAcentral.